CAACUUGGCUAGAACCGAACCAGACAUUAACCAGAUGGAGUGAGACUUUGACAAUGGACAAGGAGCGUCCAAGCGCUUGAAUUUGGGGAGAAUGAGAACCUUGAGCUGUGUUUUAAAACUCAAGAAUCCAGCAGGUACUCAGGUGUUGAGGGGGUCGUCACAAUAUGAAGCCAACCAGACGAUGGGUAGCUUGCUCACAGGUGUGAGAGCAACCAUUUCAGCGCCAUUGCUCCAACCCUUUUCCUGAGGAAGCAGAAGAACCAGUGUUGCAGUGUUGGGUUCUGAGGAUGACGCCACGUGAAUCAUUCACUUCAACUGGCUGGUGCUCAUGUCCUGAGCCGGCGGCGGACCCUUCAGGGCGACGGCGCUCCAGCUCCUCCACAUUCCACAGUCGGGAAAGC
This is a non-coding RNA of Poecilia reticulata (guppy), 401 nucleotides long. The record is from RefSeq and is a predicted model, not a curated record. NCBI's taxonomy places the organism in Eukaryota, Metazoa, Chordata, Actinopteri, Cyprinodontiformes, Poeciliidae.